UACAGAGGGUGCGAGCGUUAAUCGGAAUUACUGGGCGUAAAGCGCGCGUAGGCGGCUUUUCAAGUCGAUUGUGAAAUCCCCGGGCUUAACCUGGGAACUGCAGUCGAGACUGUCUAGCUAGAGUAUGGGAGAGGGUAGUGGAAUUCCCGGUGUAGUGGUGAAAUGCGUAGAUAUCGGGAGGAACACCAGUGGCGAAGGCGACUACCUGGCCUGUUCUUGACGCUGAGGCGCGAAAGCUAGGGGAGCAAACGGG
Molecule: ribosomal RNA, 253 nt
Filed under: uncultured bacterium
Lineage: Bacteria
Description: partial 16S ribosomal RNA
Rfam family: Bacterial small subunit ribosomal RNA
Source: RNAcentral